UACGUAGGAGGCGAGCGUUAUCCGGAUUUACUGGGCGUAAAGAGGACGCGGGCGGCUUUUCAAGUCGGAUGUAAAAUCUCCCGGCUCAACUGGGAGGGAUCGUCCGAUACUGUUAGGCUUGAGUGCAGCAGAGGGAAGCGGAAUUCCCGGUGUAGUGGUGAAAUACGUAGAUAUCGGGAGGAACACCAGUGGCGAAAGCGGCUUCCAAGGCUGUAACUGACGCUGAGGUCCGAAAGCGUGGGGAGCGAACAGG
RNAcentral lists this ribosomal RNA (253 nucleotides) under uncultured bacterium. Its description in RNAcentral is "partial 16S ribosomal RNA". It matches the Rfam family "Bacterial small subunit ribosomal RNA", at positions 524 to 776 of the family's 1533-position model. The record is from RNAcentral.